Molecule: long non-coding RNA, 236 nt
Organism: Magnolia sinica
Lineage: Eukaryota; Viridiplantae; Streptophyta; Magnoliopsida; Magnoliales; Magnoliaceae
Exons: 3
Source: RefSeq, a predicted model, not a curated record
CUCAGCUCAUGAUCCAAUUCAACAAGAAGCAGAAGCUAUUCAAUCUCAAAGGAAUUGUUGGUGGUGAUGUCAAAAUGGCAUAUGCCACAACGACAAAGACCGAAAAGAAGGCGAGAAGAAUUCUUCAAAGGUGCUAUUGAAGUUGUUGAUGUCCGAUUUGCAUCAAAUGAAGAGGGUGACUUCAAGGGAUUUGACCAUGUUGAGGUUUGCCACUGAGGCAACAGCUCACAAGGUAA